This 402-nucleotide ribosomal RNA is filed under the name bacterium. RNAcentral's name for it is "partial 16S ribosomal RNA". It matches the Rfam family "Bacterial small subunit ribosomal RNA", at positions 355 to 776 of the family's 1533-position model. The record is from RNAcentral.
UGGGGAAUUUUGCACAAUGGGGGAAACCCUGAUGCAGCGACGCCGCGUGAUUUAGAAGGCCUUCGGGUUGUAAAAAUCUUUUUUACGGGAUGAAAAUGACAGUACCGUAAGAAUAAGGUCCGGCUAAAUACGUGCCAGCAGCCGCGGUAAUACGUAUGGACCGAGCGUUGUCCGGAAUCAUUGGGCGUAAAGGGUACGUAGGCGGCCUAGUAAGUUAGAAGUGAAAUAAUAUAGCUCAUCUAUAUAAAGCUUUUAAAACUGCUAGGCUUGAGAGAUGGAAGGGAAAGUGGAAUUCCUAGUGUAGCGGUGAAAUGCGCAGAUAUUAGGAAGAAUACCGGUGGCGAAGGCGACUUUCUGGUCAUCAUCUGACGCUGAGGUACGAAAGCGUGGGUAGCAAACAGG